This 450-nucleotide ribosomal RNA is filed under the name uncultured bacterium. Its description in RNAcentral is "partial 16S ribosomal RNA". It matches the Rfam family "Bacterial small subunit ribosomal RNA", at positions 354 to 796 of the family's 1533-position model. The record is from RNAcentral.
GUGGGGAAUUUUGGACAAUGGGCGCAAGCCUGAUCCAGCAAUGCCGCGUGCAGGAAGAAGGCCUUCGGGUUGUAAACUGCUUUUGUACGGAACGAAACGGUUCUGGUUAAUACCCGGGGCUAAUGACGGUACCGUAAGAAUAAGCACCGGCUAACUACGUGCCAGCAGCCGCGGUAAUACGUAGGGUGCAAGCGUUAAUCGGAAUUACUGGGCGUAAAGCGUGCGCAGGCGGUUGUGUAAGACAGGCGGGAAAUCCCCGGUCUCAACCUGGGAAUUGCGCUUGUGACUGCACGGCUGGAGUGCGGCAGAGGGGGAUGGAAUUCCGCGUGUAGCAGUGAAAUGCGUAGAUAUGCGGAGGAACACCGAUGGCGAAGGCAAUCCCCUGGGCCUGCACUGACGCUCAUGCACGAAAGCGUGGGGAGCAAACAGGAUUAGAUACCCGAGUAGUCC